GACGAACGCUGGCGGCGUGCUUAACACAUGCAAGUCGAACGGAAAGGCCCUGCUUUUGUGGGGUGCUCGAGUGGCGAACGGGUGAGUAACACGUGAGUAACCUGCCCUUGACUUUGGGAUAACUUCAGGAAACUGGGGCUAAUACCGGAUAGGAGCUCCUGCUGCAUGGUGGGGGUUGGAAAGUUUCGGCGGUUGGGGAUGGACUCGCGGCUUAUCAGCUUGUUGGUGGGGUAGUGGCUUACCAAGGCUUUGACGGGUAGCCGGCCUGAGAGGGUGACCGGCCACAUUGGGACUGAGAUACGGCCCAGACUCCUACGGGAGGCGGCAGUGGGGAAUAUUGCACAAUGGGCGGAAGCCUGAUGCAGCAACGCCGCGUGCGGGAUGACGGCCUUCGGGUUGUAAACCGCUUUCGCCUGUGACGAAGCGUGAGUGACGGUAAUGGGUAAAGAAGCACCAGCUAACUACGUG
This 468-nucleotide ribosomal RNA is filed under the name uncultured bacterium. RNAcentral's name for it is "partial 16S ribosomal RNA". It matches the Rfam family "Bacterial small subunit ribosomal RNA", at positions 28 to 507 of the family's 1533-position model. The record is from RNAcentral.